Molecule: small RNA, 1765 nt
Filed under: Histoplasma capsulatum
Lineage: Eukaryota; Fungi; Ascomycota; Eurotiomycetes; Onygenales; Ajellomycetaceae
Description: hypothetical RNA
Source: RNAcentral
CAGGCGCAGGGCAAAGGGGAUUCGAGUUGAACAGUAUGAAGGGGGUUGGAAUCCAUACUUAUGAAAGGGAUAUGUCAGAACCUUGAUUGGUUUGGAUUUUGAUUUUCUAUUAUUAUUUCUUUUUUUUCAAAAAACCGCAUUUGAUGAAUGAAUGGGUGCGUGGAGUGGGGUUCUCGUCGCCCUCUCUUUUCUCUUUUCUUUUUGUUUCUUUAUCCAUCAUGUUUUUCCCCUGUAUCUUCCCCCUUCUCUUCCCUCCCUUCAUUUUCAUGUUUUUGUUUUUUUAUUAUUUGGAUUUUUGUUUAUUAUGAUUUUUUUCUUUAUGUUCACUUCUCUUUGAUGUGUUUUGCAGUUGAUACACUUUUCUCCCAUUCUAUCCUUCUACUUGGAUCGUUACAUUUUAUCUAUUCUUCAUCUUCCUAUUUUUGUAUUUUUUGUAUUUUUUUCCUUUUUUUUUUUUUUCGCCAGUUCCGAUUGUCCUGGACCCAAGUUUUGAAACUUUUGACAUUGAAUAAAUAAAAAUACAGAUAUAAAUAAAUACAUUUGACCGUAGUCGCUUUAGCUAGUGUUAUUUUAUUACCUUUUUGGCAGAACAUAGUUACAACUCUUCCUUCUCGUCCAAAAGUUAGCAUACCCAGGUUCCAAAAUGGCUAGUGAACCAACCACCCAACGUUUCGGCCGGGAAAAAAAAAAACCAAAAAAGCCCUCCGAAGCUCGAAACUUGAAGCUCGAAGCGCGAACCUGUUUCAACCCACGAAAAUCAAACGGGGAAAAGAACAAAAUCGAUCGAACGGGGUGGCAAAAUCAUGAAGGGGGGUUAAAUAAGUGGCUUCUGUUUUUGGGUGUCAUUUUUCCUUUUCUUUUUCUUUUUUCUUGUUUUGUUUUGUUCCGUGGAAUGGCUUUGUGAUGGAGCACCUCGGGGCCAUGGGGACCCCACAAUAUGGGAGGGGGGGAAAGUGAGUGAGUAGUGAGUGGGUGAGUGGGUGGGUGGUGGUGUGUGAAAUGUCGAUAUAAUAAACGUUGUUCCCCGGCCGGGAGGAAUUGGACUUAUCAUAUAUAUAUAUAUGUAGCUUGUCUCCUGCCAAUAAGCCGGUGCCGUGUCAAUGAUGAUAAUGAUGAGAAUGAUAUGAUGGGCGUGGAGCUGGGAGCAGGACCAAGCAGAAUUAAAUACAUCAAAAGUGAAUGGCUUAAAAACGUAUGUAAUAAACUGGAUACCCUGCAUCGCCGGGACGUUUGAUGGGAAGCAGAAGAAGAAGAAGGGUAUAUCGAUCACUAAACACUCUUGACUUUAUAGUUAUCCAUGCAUAUGACAUAUCAUAUAUGCAAUUUUGACCGAAUACCCAAUACCCUGAAGGGUCCAACGAAACCAAACCAAACCAAACCAGCCAGCCCUUCAACCUCAAAUCCUUCUUGGCUGUCUGUCGCUAAAAGCCGCUUGGUGUGCACGGUCUUUGUUUGGUCUUUGUUAGGUCUUUGGAGCGAAGAGAUCAUCCACCUUCCCUUAAACCCGAAACCUCCGAAAUCCGACGCUACGGCAAGGGAGUUAAAUAGCGAGCGAUUCCUCGGCUCGUUCGUCGUCCUGGUGGGUGGAACGGUGCCCAGGGGUCAGCGUGGAUUCGGAGGUGAAGGAGGUGAAGGAGGAGGGGAGGCAACGUAUCCCAUGUUCAUGUUUUUGUUCGGCUUAGGAUGCGGGAAUUGUGAUUACUAUCCUGGUGGGUCCUGGCUCCUCCCGACGCCAAGAGGGGACUGGUUUUUUCGGCUCGCGGAG